Molecule: non-coding RNA, 112 nt
Filed under: uncultured Prevotella sp.
Lineage: Bacteria; Pseudomonadati; Bacteroidota; Bacteroidia; Bacteroidales; Prevotellaceae
Description: FMN riboswitch (RFN element)
Rfam family: FMN riboswitch aptamer (RFN element)
About the family: The RFN element is a highly conserved domain that is found frequently in the 5'-untranslated regions of prokaryotic mRNAs that encode for flavin mononucleotide (FMN) biosynthesis and transport proteins.
Source: RNAcentral
CUCUUCAGGGCAGGGUGAAAGUCCCGAUCGGCGGUAUAGUCCGCGAGCCUCUAUUAUAGGCAUGAACCGUUGCAACUACGGUACCGACAGUAUAGUCUGGAUGAAAGAAGAA